AUGUUUCUGUUGUCACUGCUCGUGUCAUCAGUUUUUGAGCUUUUGAUUGGACAGAUUGUCUCAACAAUGUUUGAGAACCAAAUCUUCCUCCUCUUCUUAUUCCUUCCUCAUUUUGCCCUCUUGUUGCUCUUCCGGCUCUUAGACCAUUUAACAAUGCUUUUCCCUCCAAAACCAACAAUUGAAGUAAUGCGACUCCGCCCUACGAACCACACAUUUCUGUCACUUGUUAUGCAAAUCAUAUUCUCAUACUUUUUAAAAUAUUUGCUUUGCCACUUAACUCCAAUGGGUGAUUCUGUGGUUCGAUCAUUCUGA
Molecule: ribosomal RNA, 312 nt
Filed under: Triticum aestivum (bread wheat)
Lineage: Eukaryota; Viridiplantae; Streptophyta; Magnoliopsida; Poales; Poaceae
Description: partial small subunit ribosomal RNA
Source: RNAcentral